This 153-nucleotide unclassified non-coding RNA is filed under the name Acartia pacifica. RNAcentral's name for it is "trans-spliced leader". Lineage: Eukaryota; Metazoa; Arthropoda; Copepoda; Calanoida; Acartiidae. The record is from RNAcentral.
GUCUAAAACGACCAAGCUAAAUUUGCUUGAUUCACUUCAUUAAGAGGUGUGUAUCCAAGUUGUCUGUGUCCCUCGCUUGACUUCAGCGUCAGGCUGAGAGUACAGUCUAGCUUGUGACAGUGUUUCUGCUGGAUUAAAGACAAUCCUAUCCCU